GCUUUCCAACAAAAAUGAGCAUGUAAAAGUUUGAGGAUGAGGUAGAAGUUAGAGAUGGAAAACGGAUAUGGUUAAAUGGGUCGGGCUUAAAAGUGGCACCAUAUCUAAAAUGUGGACCAACAAAGUUUAAUACCAGUAUCUAUUUUACUUUUACUUGCUUUAUCUAUAUAAAGUUUAAAUACUAUAAAAUUGUAAACUAAA
RNAcentral lists this long non-coding RNA (201 nucleotides) under Lathyrus oleraceus (garden pea). Its description in RNAcentral is "Pisum sativum (pea) long non-coding RNA (PSAT_LNC023545)". Lineage: Eukaryota; Viridiplantae; Streptophyta; Magnoliopsida; Fabales; Fabaceae. The record is from RNAcentral.